GAUUUCUGCCCAGUGCUC
This 18-nucleotide non-coding RNA is filed under the name Arabidopsis thaliana (thale cress). The record is from RNAcentral. RNAcentral also lists the same sequence under 1 other name. Lineage: Eukaryota; Viridiplantae; Streptophyta; Magnoliopsida; Brassicales; Brassicaceae.